Molecule: ribosomal RNA, 774 nt
Filed under: uncultured Neocallimastigales
Lineage: Eukaryota; Fungi; Neocallimastigomycota; Neocallimastigomycetes; Neocallimastigales
Description: partial large subunit ribosomal RNA
Rfam family: Eukaryotic large subunit ribosomal RNA
Source: RNAcentral
ACGACUACAUAUCAGGCAUAUCAAUAAGCGGAGGAAAAGAAACUAACAAGGAUUCCCUUAGUAACGGCGAGUGAAGCGGGAAGAGCUCAAAUUUGAAAUCUUCAAGGUUCUACCUUGACGAAUUGUAGUUUAAAGAAGUGUUUUCUGUUAGAGGAGUAGCAAAAGUUCCUUGGAAUGGGACAUCAUAGAGGGUGAGAAUCCCGUAUUUGGUUAUUCUUUCUAGCUUUGUGAUACACUUUCAAAGAGUCGGAUUGUUUGGGAAUGCAGUCCAAAAUGGGUGGUAAAUUUCAUCUAAAGCUAAAUAUUGGCGAGAGACCGAUAGCGAACAAGUAUCCGUGAGGGAAAGAUGAAAAGAACUUUGAAAAGAGAGUUAAACAGUACGUGAAAUUGUCAAAAGGGAAGCGUUUGACACCAGUGUUGUUUUUCCGAAAUCAAUUAAGAAGGGCUUGAUUUUGUGUUGUAUUGACCUUAUCAGCUUUCUUCACUCUUUUUCGAGUCUUUCUUAAUGCACUUUUCGGUUAACAAGUCAACAUCAAUUUCUUUUGUUGUAAAAGGGUAUUUGGAAGGUGGCUUUCUUUUCGGAGAAAGUGUUUAUAGCCUUAUACCUCUACAAUCGGAGAGAUUGAGGUCUGCAGCGUAGAUCCUUCGGGGCUAGAUACACUUGUGCUAAGUUAUAGCUUUUCAUAGACAACUUGUUGACUAUGUUUAGUCAUGUAGCUUACCCGCUUGUGCUAUUUUACCUACGCUUAGGAUGUUGAUCUACAGAGCGAGAGU